Molecule: ribosomal RNA, 435 nt
Filed under: uncultured Lachnospiraceae bacterium
Lineage: Bacteria; Bacillati; Bacillota; Clostridia; Lachnospirales; Lachnospiraceae
Description: partial 16S ribosomal RNA
Rfam family: Bacterial small subunit ribosomal RNA
Source: RNAcentral
ACGGGAGGCAGCAGUGGGGAAUAUUGGACAAUGGGGGGAAACCCUGAUCCAGCGACGCCGCGUGAGUGAAGAAGUAUUUCGGUAUGUAAAGCUCUAUCAGCAGGGAAGAUAAUGACGGUACCUGACUAAGAAGCUCCGGCUAAAUACGUGCCAGCAGCCGCGGUAAUACGUAUGGAGCAAGCGUUAUCCGGAUUUACUGGGUGUAAAGGGAGCGUAGACGGCAUAGCAAGUCUGAUGUGAAAUCCCCGGGCUCAACCCGGGAACUGCAUUGGAAACUGUUAAGCUAGAGUGCAGGAGAGGUAAGUGGAAUUCCUAGUGUAGCGGUGAAAUGCGUAGAUAUUGGGAGGAACACCGGAGGCGAAGGCGGCUCACUGGACGAUUACUGACGUUGAGGCUCGAAAGCGUGGGGAGCAAACAGGAUUAGAUACCCUGGUA